GACGAACGCUGGCGGCGUGCUUAACACAUGCAAGUCGAACGGAAAGGCCCCUUUGGGGGUACUCGAGUGGCGAACGGGUGAGUAACACGUGAGUAACCUGCCCUUGACUUCGGGAUAACUUCAGGAAACUGGGGCUAAUACCGGAUAGGAAUCCUUGCUGCAUGGUGGGGGUUGGAAAGCUUCGGCGGUUUUGGAUGGACUCGCGGCUUAUCAGCUUGUUGGUGGGGUAGUGGCUUACCAAGGCUUUGACGGGUAGCCGGCCUGAGAGGGCGACCGGCCACAUUGGGACUGAGAUACGGCCCAGACUCCUACGGGAGGCAGCAGUGGGGAAUAUUGCACAAUGGGCGGAAGCCUGAUGCAGCAACGCCGGGUGCGGGAUGACGGCCUUCGGGUUGUAAACCGCUUUCAGCAGGGGCGAAGCUUGUGGUGACGGUACCUGCAGAAGAAGCACCGGCUAACUACGUG
RNAcentral lists this ribosomal RNA (465 nucleotides) under uncultured bacterium. Its description in RNAcentral is "partial 16S ribosomal RNA". It matches the Rfam family "Bacterial small subunit ribosomal RNA", at positions 28 to 507 of the family's 1533-position model. The record is from RNAcentral.